CGCACAAGCGGUGGAGCAUGUGGUUUAAUUAGAAGCAACGCGCAGAACCUUACCAGCUCUUGACAUCCUUUAAAACCUUAGGGAGAGAGUUUCUCCUUUUGGAGCAGAAGACACACACAGCGCAUGCAUGUUCUCAUCAGUGUUGUGAGAUUGAGGUUUGUGUCAGUCAAAGAGCGCCCCCAUCUCUUUUCAUUGCUCUCAAUGCAAGGGCCUUUUAAAAGGAAGCCCCGGACAAAACCGGGAGAAAGGGGGGGAUGACGUCAGGUCCUCAUGGCCCUAUCGGGAUGGCUUCCACAGUCAUACAAAUACGGGACCGAGGGUCAGCAAGAUCGCGAGGUCAGCCUAAUUUCCAAAAACCAUCUUAGUUCGGAUCGCAGUCUGCAAUUCGAGUGCAUGAAGUUGGAAUCGCUAGUAAUCGCGGAUCAGAAUGUCGCGGUGAAUACGUUCCCGGGUCUUGUACACACCGCCCGUCACACCAUGGGAGUUUGUUUCACCAAAGGCG
RNAcentral lists this ribosomal RNA (502 nucleotides) under Pseudochrobactrum asaccharolyticum. RNAcentral's name for it is "bacterial SSU rRNA". It matches the Rfam family "Bacterial small subunit ribosomal RNA", at positions 922 to 1428 of the family's 1533-position model. Lineage: Bacteria; Pseudomonadati; Pseudomonadota; Alphaproteobacteria; Hyphomicrobiales; Brucellaceae. The record is from RNAcentral.